This 2215-nucleotide long non-coding RNA is filed under the name Coffea arabica (coffee). RNAcentral's name for it is "long non-coding RNA (CARA_LNC001159)". Lineage: Eukaryota; Viridiplantae; Streptophyta; Magnoliopsida; Gentianales; Rubiaceae. The record is from RNAcentral.
AGAAAGAGAGGGAAAGCCAAGAGAAAGAAACUAUAGUCCAUCUUGAGUUUGAUCCACUUAAGUGAGAAAACAAGAAAUCUAAAUCGAUUAAUCAAUAGUUUGAGAGCUUGGGAAGCUUAAGGAACCAAAAAUUUCAAGGAGUAGUGGAGGAUCACUCUUGCAAGGCCUUGUCUUGAGGUAUAAUGGCUGAUCACCCUUUCUUUUCCAUUAAUCAUGAUUAAGUUGGGUAUUAAUGUUAGAAUUGUGCUUGUGAUGCUUGUUUGAAAUGGUUUUGAUGAUUGGAGGGAUGAAUUUUGAGAUAGGGUUUUGAUUUAUUCACUUAUAAUUCUUGUUGGUUAGGUGUUAUAUGGUGUGUAUAUAUGGUAUAUAAUCUUGUAAAGGAGAAAGUAGUGGCGGCUUUAAGGUAAAAAUGUAAAUUAUAGCUUGAUGUAGCAAAAUUCCAGAUUUCUGGAAAUUGAAGCUUCAGUUUUGCCCGGUUCUAGUUCCAUAUGUUAGAGGCCGAAUUAGGCUUAGCACAAAACAUAAAAGUUGUAUAGAAUGAUGUUUUAUAGUUUUUUGAAAAAUAUCAGCUCAAUCGGAGCAACGUAGCCUGUGAAAAGACCGAAAUACCCAUGACUACCACAGGUUUAGUCCAAUGGACAGUUUUGACAUUUCAUCAAUCUGAUCGUGUCUUUUCACCUUUAUACAUACUAAACUAGCAUUUAGCCAAAACAUAAAAGUUGUAUUGCUAUGUCCUAGCUUUCCAACACCCCUGGAAUCACCUCAUUUGGACUUCGGUAGCCUGAGUUAUGGUUGUUUACGUAUAGUGCGGUUAACUAGCCCGAGUGUGAGAUUCUGAUUCUGUAAUUUGACAUUUUGACUUAGAUACACUGCAAAAUGGACUGAGCGGUCUUCAUCAAAGUUGUAGAUCUUUGUUUUAGCUUCGAAACGGUUAAAUUGCACCUCAAUCCGAUAAGCGUAGCCUCAGUUGUGUCCGUUACGCAAAAUAAUGUCAAAUCUGUCUUUUGUUUCUUGACUUAAACUUCAUUUCCGCACAUGCUCCUAGCUUGAUUUUAUACCUGUAUGACUUGGAGCCUAUGAAAUGGCUAGUGAAAUGAGAUGAUUCUGUAUAAGACUUUGGGUUUGAUUGAAGAAAAGAAUGAAGCCAUAAAUGGUUGGAAAAUAGAUAAAUACAAAGGGCGUGCUGCCCAAAUUUACGCUCGAGAACUAGGUCGAUAUACUUGCGACUUGAGUAAGGUUUGAGAGCGAAUACCAUGUGAACCAUCUAGGGUAUUUACGUUUUCUUUGCCACUUCGACUCAAAUAGCAAUUUUAAAGUUUUACAAGUGAGUCUAAGUUUUACAAAUAUUUUACUUAUGUCUUUUGGUUUCAAUGUACUCUUUUCACUACCAAAACCAUAUUUAUACUUUGUACUAGUACGUUUGCGACUUUUCUUUGACUCACUUAUAUCUUUGAUGGUUGAAGCAUAAUGUGUUCAUUUGAUUAUAUUAGGAUACCUUGGUGAUUGAGGGUGUAUCCGGAAGGAAACUUUGGAUGUUAUUUUGCAUAAAUAGGUGAGUGUUCCUUGUUUGUUAUAUUUUCAUUGCCUAUGUGGCUUGUUCUUAUUUAUAUGACUUGUUAUGAACGAUUGAUAACAUGUUAAAUAUUUUCAAUGAUUGCUUAAAAUGAGUUUGUUAGGCGAGUGUAUACUUUAUCGCACUCGACUUAAAUGAAAUUUGAAAUUGUCAAUGUUUACGUGAUUAAAUGCUAGUUGUGCAUGAAUGUAAGCCUCUUGGCUGAACAAGGCCCUGCCCUUCGUUACUGAUCGACUCAAGUCAGAAGCGGACUCGGUCGGGCAAUUUAGUGACCCUGGGUGAACGUUUGGUAUACUCGAGUAUUAUCUUGAAGUCUGGUGGAGCCCUGGCCAAUGUCCGGGAAGGGGGUGAAUGAAAUGAAUGAACGAAUGUCAACGCAAAUGAGGGAUUUUACUUAUCAAAAUGUAUUUUCAAAUGAUUGGAGGAAUAAGGGGAAAUGACAGGAGAAUGAAUGAACGAAUGAAUGAAUGGCUCCUUGUGAGCACGUAUCCUUUUAAUGAAUGUGUUCCUAUCGCUUUCCAUUGUAAUGUUUCUUGAGUUAUUGAUUGUUUGUGGUAACUACAUUGAACUUGUCGCUUGAUUAUAUGUUCGGAACCUCAUUGAGCUUUUAGCUCAUCCAUUUAGUUUUGUUUUCCUUAACAG